CAGGUCUGGAAAGAGAGACACGCACAAGGUCCCAGGGCUGGAGUUUCAGGUGCCUCAUGCCUCCCCAUCCCCAUCCCAACUCAGUUAUGUGGCCCAAGAUAGGGGCAGAAGAGAGGGUGGUGGAGGAGGUGGGGGGCCGGCCUGUCUGCCCGCUCUCCGUCCCGGCCCAACAGCCAGCCCUCUUCAGCCCUGUCUUUCCAGCCUUCCUCCCAGCCAGCACCCGCGGACACACCAGGCUUCUCCCAGGAGCCGCUCGCCAGCCCUUCCCCUGCAGAGCACAGGCCCGAGCCUUGGACCUGGUGCUCAGCCCAGGUCUUCGGGAACUAGCCAUGGGACUGCGGAGAAGCCCACACAGCCUUGGGUCUCUGUUUUCCUCAUCUGAAGCCCAGGAGCACAAGUGCUUACCUUCAGGUUCAGGAAUUCAAAUUUAAUUCAGUGUCCUCUGAUUUUGUUUGUGGAAUCUGGGAACUUGAACUUGAACUUGAAGGGAACCACAGUUUCUGUCCCAAGUUGUUGAGAGCGCCCCUUCUUAGCAACAGAUACAUACUAAUCCUGGCGCAGGGGCAGCCAUUUUGUAGCUGCAAAGGGACAUGCCAAAGAACCAAGCCAAUGAGAAGAUGAAGAAAGAUGAGAAGAACAUGGGCCUUCGAUGACUUCACUGCGCUGUUGAACUUCUCUGGAAUUGUGUUUCCCUGUAAGGUUACAUGAGGUAAUGCAUUUUCCUCAUUGUUUUAUUUACUUUUAAUCUGAGUGUUUGAUUAUUGCAACAAAAGCAUCCCAACUUAAACAAGUACUAGAGACUUUCUUUUUAUGUAAUCAGAACUGAAGGAGAAAAAAAUGAAAAAGGAAUACAUUUAUCAGCAGGUAAUUCAUCAUUAUUUAAGGGCAUAUCCACACACUAUGUAAAAUAACCUAUUAUACCACCCAAUAUCUCCCAUAAAAUAGGCAUUCUACAACUUGGGGCACUCUGUAGAAUUAUUAUCUCUAUUUUUUGGAUGAGAAAAAUAACAAUGGUCACAAAGUUAAAUUGCUGAAUAACCUUUAUUUACUAAAGAAACCUGAAUUUAUAUGGUACAGUUGAAGCUAGUAUUUCAGGUGAGGAAGAGCCGGGCAGUUUCUAGCCCAAGGCUUUGUUCCCUCUAGAGGCUCUCUGCCUACUUCCCUCUGACACCUCCACACUGGCCUCCGGGAUAGUCAUUCUCUACUCUCUUAGAUGCUCCUUCCCUCAGGCCCCUGACUCAGCCAACAUGGGCUGGGGCUCUUCCCAACAGCAUGAUGAAUCCUGAAUGAGACAAACACAGGAACAAUGCAGAUGGAGACGAAUUAUUCUAAAAUGUAUACGGAAAUGCAAAGGAACUGGAGUCGCUAAAAGAGUUUUGCAAAAGAAAAGAUGAAGUAAGCAUUAGUCUACCCAACUUUGCAGGUGUUAUACAGCCACAGUAAUGAACCCUGUGGGUUGUUGGUGUGAAGGACACAGAUUGGUGGGACAGAGCAGAGAACCCGGAAGAAGACCCACACCUAUGCCCAACUCCGUUUCGAUAAAGAAGCAAAAGUAACCCACUAGAGGGAGGACAACCCUUGAAACAAAAGGUGUGGAACAUUCAGACAAUCCAAACACACAAAAACGUGACCCUCGAUCUAGACCCCAUAGCCUGUAUAAAAAUUAACUCAAAAUGGAUCAUAAACUUAAAUGUGAGACAUAAAACUAUAAAACUUUUUAGAAAAACAAACGAACAUGGGAGAAGAAUCUUUGGAAUUUGGGGCUCAGCAGAGUUCUUGGCCUUGACACCAAAAGCACUCUCCGUAAGAGGAAACAUUGAUUAAAUUGGACUUCAUCAAAAUCUAAAACUUUUGCUUUGUGAAAGGCCUAGGAAAGAGGAUAGAAAAAUAAAUUGUAGGGGUGCUCGGGUGGCUCAGUGGGUUAAGCAGCUGCCUUCAUCUCAGGUCAUGAUCUCGGGGUCCUGGAUUUGAGCCCCCUGCUCAGCAGGGAGUCUGCAUCUCCUUCUCCCUCUUCCCCUCCCCCGUCGCUCAUGCUCUCUCCAUAAAUAAAUAAAAUCUUGAAAAAAAAAAAAAGACCAAUCUUGCAGAUUGGUUGUGGUGGUGGGGAGGAUAUUUGCAAAACACUUAUCUCAUAAAGGACUAUCACCUAGGGGUGGCUCAGUGGAUUAAAAGCUCUGCCUUCGGCUCAGGUUAUGAUCUCAGGGUCCUGGGAUUGAGACCCAUAUCGGGCUCUCUGCUCAGCAGGGAGCCUGCUUCCCCCCACCCCCCUGCCUGUCUCUCUGCCUGCUUCUGAUCUCUGUCCAAUAAAUAAACAAAAUAUUAAAAAAAAAAGACUAUCACCUAGAAUACAUAAAGCCCUUUCAAAACUGAGCACUAAAAAAACCCAACCCAUUAAAUUUAGUACGUGGGCAUAAGACAUGAACUGAUAUUUUACUGAAGAGAAUAUUCUUGUGGCAAAUGAACAUAUGAAGAAAAUCUUCAACAUUCUGAGCCAUACAGAAAUGCCAGUCACACACCUAUCAAAAUAGCUUUAAGGAAACACAGUGACGACCUCAACUUCCGACAGGGAUGAGAAGAACUUGGAUCGCCUCUACUUUGCAGUGGGGAUGUAACAUGGUCUAGCCACUGGGAGACAGUUUGGUGGUUUCUUCAAAAACUAAACCUGGGGGCGCCUGGGUGGCUCAGUGGAUUAAGCUGCUGCCUUCGGCUCGGGUCAUGAUCUCAGGGUCCUGGGAUCGAGUCCCGCAUCGGGCUCUCUGCUCGGCGGGGAGUCUGCUUCUCUCUCUCUCUGCCUGCCUCUCUACUUGUGAUUUCUCUCU
Molecule: long non-coding RNA, 2819 nt
Organism: Mustela lutreola (European mink)
Lineage: Eukaryota; Metazoa; Chordata; Mammalia; Carnivora; Mustelidae
Exons: 4
Source: RefSeq, a predicted model, not a curated record